RNAcentral lists this ribosomal RNA (876 nucleotides) under uncultured archaeon. RNAcentral's name for it is "bacterial SSU rRNA". It matches the Rfam family "Archaeal small subunit ribosomal RNA", at positions 21 to 903 of the family's 1478-position model. The record is from RNAcentral.
ACCUGACUGCUAUCGGAUUGAUACUAAGCCAUGCGAGUCAUUGUAGCAAUACAAGGCAUACGGCUCAGUAACGCGUAGUCAACCUAACCUUUGGACGGGAAUAACCUCGGGAAACUGAGAAUAAUGCCCGAUAGAACAUUAUACCUGGAAUGGUUUAUGUUCCAAAUGAUUUAUCGCCAUAGGAUGGGACUGCGGCCUAUCAGUUUGUUGGUGAGGUAAUGGCCCACCAAGACUAUUACAGGUACGGACUCUGAGAGGAGUAGCCCGGAGAUGGGUACUGAGACACGGACCCAGGCCCUAUGGGGCGCAGCAGGCGAGAAAACUUCGCAAUGUGCGAAAGCACGACAAGGUUAGUCCGAGUGAUUUCUGCUAAAGAGAUCUUUUGCUAGUUAUAAAACCACUAGUGAAUAAGGGGUGGGCAAGUUCUGGUGUCAGCCGCCGCGGUAAAACCAGCACCUCAAGUGGUCAGGAUGAUUAUUGGGCCUAAAGCAUCCGUAGCCGGCUCUGUAAGUUUUCGGUUAAAUCUAUGCGCUCAACGUAUGGGCUGCCGAAAAUACUGUAGAGAUAGGGAGUGGGAGAGGUAGACGGUACUCGGUAGGAAGGGGUAAAAUCCUUUGAUCUAUCGAUGACCACCUGUGGCGAAGGCGGUCUACCAGAACACGCUCGACGGUGAGGGAUGAAAGCUGGGGGAGCAAACCGGAUUAGAUACCCGGGUAGUCCCAGCUGUAAACGAUGCAGACUCGAUGAUGCAUUGGCAUAUAGCCAGUGCAGUGUCGCAGGGAAGCCGUUAAGUCUGCCGCCUGGGAAGUACGUACGCAAGUAUGAAACUUAAAGGAAUUGGCGGGGGAGCACCACAAGGGGUGAAGCCUGCGGUUC